Cyprinus carpio carpio is the source of this 1404-nucleotide long non-coding RNA. The record is from Ensembl. NCBI's taxonomy places the organism in Eukaryota, Metazoa, Chordata, Actinopteri, Cypriniformes, Cyprinidae.
CCGACAGUGGAAACGCGGCUAUUAACUCCACUGGCCUCGCUCCGUUCCCACGGCUCUCGGCCCCGCCCCUCUCGGCACAAAGGUUAAUCCAGACAAAUGCUGAAAAUUGGUGAUUUUGAGGUGAAAUUAGGCACGCAGCACUCUGGGAUUUGACAUAAACAUAGUUACAAGCUGUUCGCUUUCUUUUUCCAUGGCCCGUCUGUCUGGAUAAUCUUGUUACGUUUCGUUUUUCCAGAGGGACAAAUUCUGCUUGCUCGAACGAGCUGUGGCCCAGUCUGGAGGUCAAGGCUAUAGUGGAGAGGAGGGGGGCUGCUCUGUCAGAGAUAAGAGAGCAGAGAAUGAUGUGGCCAAAUGGCAUGGAGAGAGAAUUGGCGGAAUUAUCUGAUAUUCCCAGGAUUUAAACUUGACUGCGAAUGCCAUCCAGCACCAAACAAGAUUAUAUUCUUUCUCUCUGAAAGGAUUUAUAAAUUGUCAACCUUUUAUUUAUUUAAUUUUUUUUUUUGGGGGGGGCACUCAGCAGGAAGGGCCUGCAUUUACUUUGUACUGUGGUAUUUUCAACAUGAGGAGAUGGACACUCAUCAAGCCCUUGAAAAAAAAAGUUUUUUUGGGAAGCAGUUGGGGUUCGGUGCCUUGUUCACCUCAGGGCACCUCAGUCAUGGUACUGAAGGUGGGAGAGAGCGCUGUACAUUCACUCCCCCCACCUACAACCCCUGCCGGUACAAGACUCGAACCCGGAACCUUUGGGUUACAUUUAUUUUUAGCUCAGGUCAUCACAAAUUGGGUCACUUUUAAUGCGAUACGUUGUCUAUUAUUGAAGCGGAAAUCUAAAUGGCUGGCUUGAAAAGACAAGUGUACUUAAAGUAUCUUAGGUAUUUUCAUGUUAUUACUGAGUAACUUUAGUUAACUUGAUAAUGGUGAGCUAUCCAGUUCUUUCAACCUCUUAUAAAACUGUAACCCACUUUGCGAAUGUCAGAUAUUUUAACAAUUCGUUGCAGCCUUGUCUUUUUGAUCACAAAUAAAGCUAUUGUCAUAGUUAUGCCCUGAGGGAAAUAUUAUGUUCAGAUGUUGCACUUUCAUGUCUAUGGUGUUCAGAUAUUUACUUUAGAUAUCAACUUUAUUUCAGACCUUUGAUAUGAUACUUUGAUACUUUGGAAAGCAACAUUUUUGGGACAUUAUUUUGAUCAAGUGGAGACCCAAAUGAGAUUAGGGUUUGUUCCCCUCAAGACUCUUACUUUCCAUUUAAUUUCAUUGCAUAUAUAUUCAUUCUUCCUAUAUCAAGCACCUGUUGUGGUUCCCUUGUUAUUCUGCUGCUUUUUCCCCCCAGACUUUUACUUCAUCUGUCAUGACAUCCCAUAGAAUCUGAAAAUCCCAAAGCCUUGAAAUUUGACAUGGUUAAUAUUCCUG